This 307-nucleotide signal recognition particle RNA is filed under the name Saimiri boliviensis boliviensis (Bolivian squirrel monkey). RNAcentral's name for it is "Metazoan signal recognition particle RNA (ENSSBOG00000011846.1)". It matches the Rfam family "Metazoan signal recognition particle RNA". Rfam says of the family: The signal recognition particle (SRP) is a universally conserved ribonucleoprotein. It is involved in the co-translational targeting of proteins to membranes. Lineage: Eukaryota; Metazoa; Chordata; Mammalia; Primates; Cebidae. The record is from RNAcentral.
GCCGGGUGCCAUGGCGCAUGCCUGUAGUCCCACCUACUUGGGAGGCUGAGGCUGGAAGAUUGCUUGAGUCCGGGAGUUCUGGGCUGUAGUGCCCUAUGCUGAUUGGGUUUCUACACUAACUUUGCAAUCAAUAUUGUGACCUCUCAUGAGUGGGGGACCACCAGGUUGCCUAAGGAGGGGUGAACUGGUGAACUGGCCCAGGUCAGAAAUGGAGGAGGUCAAAACUCCCAUGCUGAUCAGUAGUGGGAUUGUGCUUGUGAAUAGUCACUGCACUCCAGCUUGGGCAACAUGGCAAGAUCCCAUCUCU